AUCUCCAACAUAGUGGUGGAAUCGGACUGUCAAACCCUCUUGCACGCGAUACAAGGUUCCGAAUACGAUCGGUCCUCAAAAGGUGUUCUCUUCAGAGAUAUUCGCCAAUUUAUCUGUCUGAACUUCAGCACAUUUGCUUUCUCAUUUGCACCUCGAGACUGUAAUAAAGUUGCCCAUGCCCUUGCUGCGUUGGGUAGUAAUGGCCAAGAGCCCCAUCGGCUGUGGUUGGAGGCAGUGUCGGAUGAUGUAAGUGUGCUGCUGGCCAGCGAUGUAGCCGCGCCUGUUUGA
Molecule: ribosomal RNA, 288 nt
Filed under: Triticum aestivum (bread wheat)
Lineage: Eukaryota; Viridiplantae; Streptophyta; Magnoliopsida; Poales; Poaceae
Description: partial small subunit ribosomal RNA
Source: RNAcentral